Molecule: long non-coding RNA, 518 nt
Filed under: Capsicum annuum
Lineage: Eukaryota; Viridiplantae; Streptophyta; Magnoliopsida; Solanales; Solanaceae
Description: long non-coding RNA (CANN_LNC012861)
Source: RNAcentral
AUUGGGGCAUGUUGGUAAACUGUUAACUCCCAUAGUCUCAGUUUAGUAUUUGGACCAUAUAUGCUCAGAUUUGCAUGACCAAGUGCCUAGUUUAUCGUUAAUCAUUUAUUCAGUUAUACGAAUUAUUUUAGCACAUGUUUUACUUGAUCUUGCAUUCAUCUUAAAUAUUCAUGCAUUCAUGCUCAACACUUAUAUGUAUUUCAGUUGUCCCUAUCUCACGUACCAGUACAUUCAAAGUACUAAUCGCAUACUCUCUUUUGCUCUAUGUUGUCUUAUAACAUAGGUUCGGACGCAUAAUUUCCUGAUCACCCUUAAUCAGUUCAGGUUCCACUCAAUAAUAGUUGUGGCGAGUCCUUAUUCUUCGAGAAUGAUGUUAUUUACUGUUAUUUUCAGUACUUUUUUUUAUUUUAGUCAGUCGGAGUUAGUUGUGGGUUUUUCCCAUCAACUCCUCGUGUUUUAGAGGCUUUCAUAUAGUCAAUUUGUUUUCAAUUUUUAUCAGCAGUCCAAACAUGUUGGGU